CCGUAGUGAGAAGGGGCCUGAGAAAGCCCUGAGGCAACGGGAUGUUGUGGUGGCACCCGCGUUGUCCAUAGUGCUUGCUGGAUUGUACACUAACAUCCACAGCUAUCACAGUUACUUGGAGCUUUGGAGAGCAGAGACCUCCAGAGGGGCAUGGUCUCUAAGUGAAAGUGGCACAUGCUGAACCGAAGUGUUUAAACUGCUUUCCUGUGAAGUGCUGCUCCUUUAAGGACUGAGAAUGUAUUAGUAGAGAUGGUCAGCAUUUCCUGCUCACAGACAACUACAUGGAAGCAGGUGAAAAGGUCCACACUUCUGUCCAAGGUCCAGGUUGCACCUAAGCCUUUUCUCUGCAAAGAUCAUGAUCUCAGGAAUGCCAUGCCACUUCCAUUAAUCCUUUUCUCGACUUGAAGAUGCCUCUGAAUAUGGGUAAAGUUGUAUUUUAAAAACGAAAGAAAGAAAGAAAGAAAGAAAGAGAAAACGAGACUCAUUCACAUUCCGAGUCUGCUUUCUGUCUCACACGUAUUACAUUUCACAAAACAGAU
Molecule: long non-coding RNA, 539 nt
Organism: Columba livia (rock pigeon)
Lineage: Eukaryota; Metazoa; Chordata; Aves; Columbiformes; Columbidae
Exons: 4
Source: RefSeq, a predicted model, not a curated record